This 274-nucleotide ribosomal RNA is filed under the name uncultured bacterium. RNAcentral's name for it is "partial 16S ribosomal RNA". It matches the Rfam family "Bacterial small subunit ribosomal RNA", at positions 523 to 796 of the family's 1533-position model. The record is from RNAcentral.
AUACGGAGGGUGCAAGCGUUGUUCGGAAUCACUGGGCGUAAAGGGCGCGCAGGCGGUUUGGUAAGUCAGAUGUGAAAGCCCAUGGCUCAACCAUGGAAGUGCAUUUGAAACUGUCAGACUUGAGUACUAGAGGGGAAAGUGGAAUUCCCGGUGUAGAGGUGAAAUUCGUAGAUAUCGGGAGGAAUACCGGUGGCGAAGGCGACUUUCUGGCUAGAUACUGACGCUGAGGCGCGAAAGCGUGGGGAGCAAACAGGAUUAGAUACCCUAGUAGUCC